AAACCCGAUUCCUCACAAGCCCUAAUCCCGCACACCGCCGCACACCGGAGGUAAGCCACUGCCGCCGCCUGCACAUCGGAGGAACUGCUGCUUUUCAGCCGGUGCUGCCGCCAAGCUACCCUUCAGCCGCCUUUGAACCCACGACAGCAGGUAGUUUUAAUUUUAUUUUGGCGUUCGUUUUCUGUAAAAUUGGUUGUUCUUGUUUCUUGUUGAUUUCAAUUUAUGGCUUGUUCUUUGAAUUUCUUGUUGAAAACACACUAAACCUAAUUUCAUUUCACACGCAUUCUCCUGGCUGCCUCCAAUCUCCAUCUGUGCUUCCUCGCCUGACGCCUCCUCUCUCAUUCCUUCUGUGCUUCUGUGCUCCUGUGCUUCUCUGAUAAUCGCCUCCUCGCCUUCAACCCAUCGACAAUCGAGUAUCGACAGUGCUUCUGUGCUUCUUCGAGGCUUCGACGCUCCUCCUCCAAUCUUCAAACUCCAAUCUCAGCAUUCACCACGGAAUCAAGUGUAGAAUCUCGUAAUGGAAUACAUUAGUUUGUGACAAUCUUGACGAAGCCAAGCGUCUGAGCUGGACUGGGGAAAGGUGUAAAGUUGUAACUACGGAUGGAAUUCUCCUUACCGAAGCUGGUACUAUGACUGGAGGCACAAC
Molecule: long non-coding RNA, 646 nt
Organism: Amaranthus tricolor (Joseph's coat)
Lineage: Eukaryota; Viridiplantae; Streptophyta; Magnoliopsida; Caryophyllales; Amaranthaceae
Exons: 3
Source: RefSeq, a predicted model, not a curated record